UAUUACAGCCGACAUUCUUCCCUUCUCCCAUUACCGGCGUCGCACCAGCCUCGAGGUCAUCCUCACCACUGGCGACCACCGUGAUUGUUGGAGUCGGAGGGACCACCGCCACCCGUUACAAUAGUUUCCCCGACCAGUCGAGCCACCUAUUCGGAGCCUCCCGGUAGCCGCCAUCACCAUGGGAACCCAUCCUCAUCAGCCGCCGGUGCAGCAGCGAGUCCGACAGCUCGGUUCCACCACCGCUUUAUCGUCGUCAUCAAGCGUCCUUGUCGCUGACAACAUUGAAGAGUGACGAGGAGUAGAGGCCAGCCUCCAGGCGCUGCUACUUCACCUUUUCCGCCUUGCUGUUGUCGCUACUGUCACUCCGGCGUGAAGGGAGGCUGAGAUCGGAGCUGGAUGUUACAAAGAUUCUUUCUCUUUCCCUUAUGCGUGAAGCCAGCAGCAACCAGCUAGCUCGCUGCUCCCAUGUACCGGUCGAUCUGCAAAGCCUUCUCCGCCUCCUUCCACCGCUGUUGCCUCCGUCAUGUGCGCACUGCCGCUGCCAAACGCCACCAAGAGAGGGAGGUGCUCCUGUUCCGAGCAAGACUUAUGUGUGGAUUCGGGAAUCUGUCAUCCAGCAGCUAGGGUUUUGUCAUCAGGACUUCAGCAGUGAGAGGUGAAUUUCCUUCCAGUAGGAACGGGUCUACGGCCACAAUGCCGGCCCGUUUAGAUAGCAGUAGUUCCGGACUGCGGUCCGAUGUCGGGGUGGUCCCGAGAAGUAUUUUAGUAUGCUUGAUGUCUUUGUAAUUCAGGCAUGUCUAUGUGUUAUGUGUUCCAGACUGCGGUCCGAUGCAGUAUGCAUUAUAUGUGUUAUUGUUAUACGUUAUGAUUAUGAUAUGCUAUGUUCAGUCAGUUCCAGACUUCGGUCCGAUGCACUGGGUAAUGCCCUAGUUAGUUCCGGACUUCGGUGUAACAUACACGUUCAGUUAUCGUGUAUUGUAAAGUAUAAAAGUGAAUAAUAUUACGAAAUAUUAUGUGAA
Lactuca sativa (garden lettuce) is the source of this 1019-nucleotide long non-coding RNA. RefSeq lists it as uncharacterized. The record is from RefSeq and is a predicted model, not a curated record. NCBI's taxonomy places the organism in Eukaryota, Viridiplantae, Streptophyta, Magnoliopsida, Asterales, Asteraceae.